This 535-nucleotide long non-coding RNA is filed under the name Homo sapiens (human). Its description in RNAcentral is "HSALNT0246885". The record is from RNAcentral. Lineage: Eukaryota; Metazoa; Chordata; Mammalia; Primates; Hominidae.
UAAAAAGGCCAUGUGGCACAGUGGAAAGAAUACUGGAAUGAGAAUCCGAAGUCUUGGAUUUGAAUCCACUUCAGUUACCAAAGAGCCUGACAAGAAACUGUCAAAUGGGGCAUUUGGAAAUGACAGACAUCGAAUCAACAGGUUUGCUGCUGUUUUAGGAUUUGCCAAUUGUUAACAUAGUGGCGCAUCUGCUGUUUCAUAAAGGUCAUGCUGUCACAUAAUUCUUGUCUGCAGAGCUUCAUUCACUACAAGGUGAGUGCUUGAGAAAGAACAGCGUAGUAUGACGGUUUCAGACAGAUGCAUUUAUUUGCGUGCAUUUGAUGCAGAGUUGGGAAUGAAACUCGGAAAGCAUCAAUACCAUUCCUUUCAUUGUUCUUUUGUACUGCCCGGUUUCAAAAGCUAAACCUAUAAAAAUAGAAAAUGAGUGUAAUUAAGUGGUCUAAUUUAGAAUGAUGGACUUUUUAAGUCGACUAUUGAAUUUACUUUGAUGCAAAAAUUUCAAACUUUUAGAAUGUUAGCCAUCAUUCAUUCUGUG